GGGGGCGAUCGGUUUCGACCGGGCAAGUUGAGGUCUGGAUGGCGUGUCGAGGUUGUCAGGCGGCCUCGUAAAACACCUGGCACAACGUUAGAUGCCAACAAUGGCUAUCGCCUGGCUGCCUAAUUAGUGCAGCUACGUCGGCCGGCAACGCCCGCUAGCCGAACCGACGAAAACAGUGGGCUGGUUCGAGCGUUCCCGUCGGGUGGCGCCGGAUGAGAUAAAACCUGGCUGGGCGAGCGGAUGGCCUGUCGAUCGGCCUGCCGUGAGCCGAGACUCAAAUCGGUCGGCUACACACGUAGAUGUCCAGGCCAAAGUGCUUCGGGACGCGGGUUCGAUUCCCGCCGCCUCCAA
RNAcentral lists this transfer-messenger RNA (351 nucleotides) under Planctomycetia bacterium. It matches the Rfam family "transfer-messenger RNA". Rfam says of the family: Bacterial tmRNA, also known as 10Sa RNA or SsrA, is named for its dual tRNA and mRNA-like properties. Its role is to liberate the mRNA from a stalled ribosome. To accomplish this part of the tmRNA is used as a reading frame that ends in a translation stop signal. Lineage: Bacteria; Pseudomonadati; Planctomycetota; Planctomycetia. The record is from RNAcentral.